CAAAGGUAUACUACAAGUCCCC
Molecule: non-coding RNA, 22 nt
Filed under: Arabidopsis thaliana (thale cress)
Lineage: Eukaryota; Viridiplantae; Streptophyta; Magnoliopsida; Brassicales; Brassicaceae
Source: RNAcentral